UUAACAGUAUCCAAAGCUAUACUUUGAUGAUCUCCAUAUAGAACCUCAAUACUUAAUUUGCUGACUUUAUGAUUAGCCACAGAGUCUUUUGUCUUACUUGUGUUUUCCCAAUAAUAAUUCAUCCUUAAAGAGGGGAAUUGAUUUUUAUGAUUAUAUGUAGUAAACACAAGAUAUACCAUGUACAUGUAAUUACAAAGCAGUUGUAGUGGCAAAUCUAAGAUCCUAUGACAUCCAUUAUCGAGAUCUCAUAAUUUCCCUCAGUGAGCAUUUGAAAAAAUUAGAAUGCAAUCUCAAGAAGUGUAGGUUAACAAUCAUACAAGUGGAGUUCCCAUUGUGGCUCAGUGCUUAAUGAAUCCGACAAGCAUCGAUGAGGACGCCAGGGAUCGAACCCACAUCCUUAUGGAUACUACUUGGGUUUGUUACCGCUGAACCACAAUGGAAACUCCAAAAUUGUCAUUUUAGAUUGGUAAGUGUAGGACCUUUCACCGAAGAGGUGUCCUUGGUCCUACCUGAAGUAGUUUUUUUUUUUUUUUUUUAACUUGAGUUAAAAAGUCAGUAGUUCCCGUCGUGGUUAACAAAUCUGACUAGGAACCAUGAGGUUGUGGGUUCGAUCUCUGCCUUUGCUCAGUGGGUUUACGAUCAGGCAUUGCUGUGAGCUGUGGUGUAGUUUGCAGAUGCUGCUCCGAUCUAGUGUUGCUGUGGCUCUGGUGUAGGCCGGUGGCUAUAGCUCCAAUUCGACCCCUAGCCUGGGAACCUCCAUAUGCCGCAGGAGCGGCUCAAGAAAUGGCAAAAAGACAAAAAAAAAAAGUCAAAGACCUGGGUAAUAUAUUUUCAGCAAAUAUGUUGCUUGAGGCAAUAUUAUAGCUGUUCAAUAGUAAAAUUGAGACUCUAAAAACAAAUCAAAAUUUAAUAGGCUAUAAUAUUAGGCCCAAAUCAACUGUAAUAAUGAUAAUGAUUGCCAGUAUUUUAUACAUGCUUCCUGUAUCCCAGGCACUGUGCCAGGCACUUUGUAUAAAUUUUCUUAUUUAAUUUUCACAAGAACUCUAUGAGGUAGGUAUUGUUAUUAUACCCAUUUUACAAAGAAAACUAAAACUAGAGAUGUUACAUUGAUUUUAUUAAAUUUCAAAUCUAAGGUCAUGCAUUUACAUUUAAAAAUAGAUUGUGUUCAAUUUCUGACCAUGUGGUAGAUCAAAUGUGCAGAGAAACUUCAUCUGGUGUAGAAUACUUAAAAUGCUGGCUAGAAAUAACUUCAUUUCCAAAGCAUGACUGAAUGGGAAAUUAUUUAAGGAAAUCAUAGCUAGAAAAGACAGGAACAGUGAUUCCAUAGACAUAAGAGCUGGAAUUUGUUGGGAUUGUCAGUUAUCUGCCAGUCUUUGCGACCUAGAGUUUAAGUUUUAAAGAGCCAUGUGCAACAUAAAGAGAAAGUUAGAGAUCUUCACAUAAAGCCAGAACCCUUAAAAGGAGUUAACUUACCCUUGGCCUUAGAUAGGAGGGGACUGAGAAUUCCUAACCAUAGAUUCUAAAUGGAAUUCACAUUGCCUGCUUGUCUCACAAAAGUUCAAGCUGAAAAUUUAGUUUGAAAUGAGUUACUACUGCUCCUAGACAUCUGUAAAAAUGUGUUCCUUUUCUAGAAGAAAGCACGUCACACAUAGAUGCUGCAGAAUUCACACAGAUGGGUUUGGGGUAGGGGAGAGACAUGGGCUUACAAUGUAAAAUGAAAAAAAAAAAAGAUAUCUGAGUAAAAAAGCCACUA
This 1753-nucleotide long non-coding RNA is filed under the name Sus scrofa (pig). RNAcentral's name for it is "lncRNA (ENSSSCG00025024412.1)". The record is from RNAcentral. Lineage: Eukaryota; Metazoa; Chordata; Mammalia; Artiodactyla; Suidae.